RNAcentral lists this ribosomal RNA (253 nucleotides) under uncultured bacterium. Its description in RNAcentral is "partial 16S ribosomal RNA". It matches the Rfam family "Bacterial small subunit ribosomal RNA", at positions 524 to 776 of the family's 1533-position model. The record is from RNAcentral.
UACGUGGGGGGCAAGCGUUGUUCGGAAUUACUGGGCGUAAAGGGUUUGUAGGUGGCCUGCUAAGUCAGACGUGAAAUCCCUCAGCUUAACUGGGGAACUGCGUCUGAGACUGGUAGGCUCGAGGACAGGAGAGGAACGCGGAAUUCCAGGUGUAGCGGUGAAAUGCGUAGAUAUCUGGAGGAACACCGGUGGCGAAGGCGGCGUUCUGGACUGUUUCUGACACUGAAAAACGAAAGCCAGGGGAGCAAACGGG